Molecule: long non-coding RNA, 224 nt
Filed under: Carica papaya (papaya)
Lineage: Eukaryota; Viridiplantae; Streptophyta; Magnoliopsida; Brassicales; Caricaceae
Description: long non-coding RNA (CPAP_LNC008314)
Source: RNAcentral
UUCAAUUUUGACUAAAUAGACAAUGACAUGAUGUUUAUUGAUGCUCCUAAAUUACACAUGGCUUUCUUUAUGCAUAAAGUGCCUAUUUUGCAAGAAAUAGUAAACAUACCUUUGUCCUUGCACUUAGGAGGUAGUUUCCUCUUAAUUAUAACAUUUUCUCCCACAGUUAUCUUUUCAUUGCAUCUCACCUUUUUCUUGCUGCACAACUCGUUUAAAGACUUGGU